RNAcentral lists this long non-coding RNA (1249 nucleotides) under Citrus maxima (pomelo). RNAcentral describes it as "long non-coding RNA (CMAX_LNC002814)". Lineage: Eukaryota; Viridiplantae; Streptophyta; Magnoliopsida; Sapindales; Rutaceae. The record is from RNAcentral.
CGGGUUUAGCCUUUCCGGUUCCGGACCCGGAUGGAAAUUUGAAAUACCGGACCCGGAUAUAAACCCGGAUAUUUUUACUCCAGGUCCGGUCCGGGUUCAACCCGGAAAAAUCCGGGUUUCCGGAUUCCGGGUUUAGAACCCGGAUGCUUGCUAAACAUACACGAUUUUCUCUCUCUCUCCACUGUGAAUUCCUCCUUACAACUUUAACCUAUUACCAACAACAAUGGAAAAAUAAUGCAAAAUCAAAUAACUAUAAAUAAAUUCCAAGGCAAUAGAGCAUACAAAAUUCAAAUUUCAAACAUAAUGAUGACAAAUUUUGCAAUGAUGAUGACAAAUUGGGCUUUGUGGGGUUAAGCCAAGAAAAGCCGAAAAGGGAGGAAUGGGUUUUGGUCUUCAAAAUCACGUAUGCUGUUCAAGCCUUUGUUCUCAUCUCCACUCUUGCUUUCUUCUUCCUUUGCUGCGGGUGCACUUCUAAUCUCCUUUUCUUCUUCCUUUGUUGCGGCUGCACUUCUGAUCUCCUUUUCUUCUUCCUUUGGUGCUCUUUUUCCUUUGCUGUUUGGUUUUUUAUUUUGUAUUCUUUAAUUAAUUUUGUAUUCUUUCUUCAUCGAUCUUCUUCGCCUCUGAUGAUGAUGAACAUGAAUACAGCAAAGUAGCGAAGCAAUGGUGAGUGGCGACGAUGAUUUGAUGAAGAGAAGGGCUGAACGGAGAGAAAAUGGUUUGGCUUGAUGAUGAUUUGAUGAAGAGAAGGGAGAGAGUGGAAAUGUUUGGCAGCGGCGGUGAAUUAGGGCAAGGCUAAAUUUUUUUUUUUAAUUUUUCAAUUUAUAUUAAAUACAGAUGUCCGGGUCCGGGUUCCGGAUUUACGGGUUCACCCAAACCCGGAACCGGACCCGGAUUCAUCCGGGUUGAUAAAAUUCAAUCCGGAUUCCGGAUUUAAUUUGUUCCGGUACGGGUUGAACCCGGACCGGAUUUUCCGGGUUCGUCCGGGUCCAAUCCGGGUCCGGGUUAAAUUGCCACCCCUAUCCAUCAUCAAGCAAUGAUGUACAUUAACUUAAACAAUGAAUCCAUAAGCUUUGCGAUGCUAUCAAAGCAUUGCAACUCACAUACACUUAAACUUAUCUCUAUUAUUUUGCCUUCUUAACAGUAAUAUUUGUUACUACAUUUUAAAUCUGGAGCAAUUCUCUAGCUAAAAAUAAACUGUAUUUUUCUUUUAGGAUAGGUUGUCUCUAAAAUGAACAGCCUUAAAGUAGUU